This 827-nucleotide ribosomal RNA is filed under the name Pediococcus pentosaceus. RNAcentral describes it as "bacterial SSU rRNA". It matches the Rfam family "Bacterial small subunit ribosomal RNA", at positions 640 to 1471 of the family's 1533-position model. The record is from RNAcentral. Lineage: Bacteria; Bacillati; Bacillota; Bacilli; Lactobacillales; Lactobacillaceae.
ACUUGAGUGCAGAAGAGGACAGUGGCUCCAUGUGUAGCGGUGAAAUGCGUAGAUAUAUGGAAGAACACCAGUGGCGAAGGCGGCUGUCUGGUCUGCAACUGACGCUGAGGCUCGAAAGCAUGGGUAGCGAACAGGAUUAGAUACCCUGGUAGUCCAUGCCGUAAACGAUGAUUACUAAGUGUUGGAGGGUUUCCGCCCUUCAGUGCUGCAGCUAACGCAUUAAGUAAUCCGCCUGGGGAGUACGACCGCAAGGUUGAAACUCAAAAGAAUUGACGGGGGCCCGCACAAGCGGUGGAGCAUGUGGUUUAAUUCGAAGCUACGCGAAGAACCUUACCAGGUCUUGACAUCUUCUGACAGUCUAAGAGAUUAGAGGUUCCCUUCGGGGACAGAAUGACAGGUGGUGCAUGGUUGUCGUCAGCUCGUGUCGUGAGAUGUUGGGUUAAGUCCCGCAACGAGCGCAACCCUUAUUACUAGUUGCCAGCAUUAAGUUGGGCACUCUAGUGAGACUGCCGGUGACAAACCGGAGGAAGGUGGGGACGACGUCAAAUCAUCAUGCCCCUUAUGACCUGGGCUACACACGUGCUACAAUGGAUGGUACAACGAGUCGCGAGACCGCGAGGUUAAGCUAAUCUCUUAAAACCAUUCUCAGUUCGGACUGUAGGCUGCAACUCGCCUACACGAAGUCGGAAUCGCUAGUAAUCGCGGAUCAGCAUGCCGCGGUGAAUACGUUCCCGGGCCUUGUACACACCGCCCGUCACACCAUGAGAGUUUGUAACACCCAAAGCCGGUGGGGUAACCUUUUAGGAGCUAGCCGUCUAAGGGACAGA